ACAUAACGAGUGGGAGAGAAUUGAUAAUACUCUGUUUUUUUACAGUGUUGGGACCAACUUGUGUGUCUAAACGACUAAACUGAUCAUUCUGUUAUUAUAGUUUACCAGAAAAAGUUGUCUUCAGAGGGAACCAUAUGUUUGGACAUUUAAAGGAUUAGAGAUUUGAGAUUUGAAACAAGGAUUGAGAUGGAGACACCGACUAAGUUACCCUUUAGCUUAUUUAGAUUAAUUUGCUAGUGUGCCAAGGGAUGAGACAGUUGGGUUUGUGAUUGAUGGCAAAUUGUAAACAAAUGAUGAAUUGUUAGGGCCAGUUGCAUAAUCUUGAUCAUGUGUCCUGUGUCCUGGGAAGUAAUCGAACAGCUCAGAUUGAUUCUGGUUGGGUUCAAAUUGACGAUGAAGAAUGAUGUUGAGGUAUGGAUGCA
Molecule: long non-coding RNA, 422 nt
Organism: Arabidopsis thaliana (thale cress)
Lineage: Eukaryota; Viridiplantae; Streptophyta; Magnoliopsida; Brassicales; Brassicaceae
Product: other RNA
Exons: 1
Source: RefSeq